GCAAGCCGAGCGGUAUUUGUUCUUCGGAACAGAGAGAGCGGCGUACGGGUGCGGAACACGUGUGCAACCUGCCUUUAUCAGGGAGAUAGCCUUUCGAAAGGAAGAUUAAUAUCCCAUAAUAUUUAGACUGGCAUCAGAAUAAAUUGAAAGCUCCGGCGGAUAGAGAUGGGCACGCGCAAGAUUAGAUAGUUGGCGGGGUAACGGCCCACCAAGUCAAUGAUCUUUAGGGGGCCUGAGAGGGUGAUCCCCCACACUGGUACUGAGACACGGACCAGACUCCUACGGGAGGCAGCAGUGAGGAAUAUUGGACAAUGGGUGAGAGCCUGAUCCAGCCAUCCCGCGUGAAGGACGACGGCCCUAUGGGUUGUAAACUUCUUUUGUAUAGGGAUAAACCUACCCUCGUGAGGGUAGCUGAAGGUACUAUACGAAUAAGCACCGGCUAACUCCGUGCCAGCAGCCGCGGUAAUACGGAGGGUGCAAGCGUUAUCCGGGAUUUAUUGGGUUUAAAGGGUCCGUAGGCGGACUCGUAGUUCAGUGG
RNAcentral lists this ribosomal RNA (538 nucleotides) under Chryseobacterium sp. RNAcentral's name for it is "bacterial SSU rRNA". It matches the Rfam family "Bacterial small subunit ribosomal RNA", at positions 57 to 594 of the family's 1533-position model. The record is from RNAcentral. Lineage: Bacteria; Pseudomonadati; Bacteroidota; Flavobacteriia; Flavobacteriales; Weeksellaceae.